CCUGUUUAUCAAAAACAUGGCUCUUUGUUAAUAUAAUAUAAGGAGUCGGACCUGCCCAGGGAUAAGAAUUUAACGGCCGCGGUACUCUGACCGUGCAAAGGUAGCAUAAUCAUUUGCCCUAUAAUUGAGGGCUGGAAUGAAUGGUUUGACAAGAGUAAUACUGUCUCUUUAAGAUUUCCCAAAAUUUAAUUUCUAGGUCAAGAAUCCUAGAUAAAAUUAAAAGACAAGAAGACCCUAUCGAGCUUUAAAAAAGAGCAUGAAAUAAAAUUAAUAUAUUAUUAUAUUUAAUGUCAUCUGAUAUUUUGGUUGGGGCGACUAAGGAACAUUUAAAGCUUCUUAUUUUAUUUUAAAACUGAUAAGUUUUGAUCCAGUUAAAUUUACUGAUUAAAAAAAUUAGUUACCGUAGGGAUAACAGCAUAAUCUCUCUUAAGAGCUCAUAUCGAAAGAGAGGUUUGUGACCUCGAUGUUGGACUAGAAUAUCCUAAAGAUGCAGAAGU
This 497-nucleotide ribosomal RNA is filed under the name Provanna laevis. Its description in RNAcentral is "partial 16S ribosomal RNA". It matches the Rfam family "Bacterial large subunit ribosomal RNA", at positions 1799 to 2562 of the family's 2925-position model. Lineage: Eukaryota; Metazoa; Mollusca; Gastropoda; Provannidae. The record is from RNAcentral.